GGACCCUUAGGAAACUAGGGGGUGCUUCCAUCUGGAAGAAUCUGGAGACAGGUGCUGCAUGGCUGUCGUCAGCUCGUGUCGUGAGAUGUUGGGUUAAGUCCCGCAACGAGCGCAACCCUUGCCUUUAGUUGCCAGCAGUUCGGCUGGGCACUCUAAAGGGACUGCCGGUGUUAAACCGGAGGAAGGUGGGGAUGACGUCAAGUCCUCAUGGCCUUUAUGACCAGGGCUACACACGUACUACAAUGGCCGAUACAAAGGGCAGCGACACUGCGAGGUGAAGCCAAUCCCGUAAAAUCGGUCUCAGUCCGGAUUGGAGUCUGCAACUCGACUCCAUGAAGUUGGAAUCGCUAGUAAUCGUGGAUCAGCAUGCCACGGUGAAUACGUUCCCGGGCCUU
This 395-nucleotide ribosomal RNA is filed under the name uncultured Desulfobulbus sp. RNAcentral describes it as "bacterial SSU rRNA". It matches the Rfam family "Bacterial small subunit ribosomal RNA", at positions 993 to 1382 of the family's 1533-position model. The record is from RNAcentral. Lineage: Bacteria; Pseudomonadati; Thermodesulfobacteriota; Desulfobulbia; Desulfobulbales; Desulfobulbaceae.